RNAcentral lists this ribosomal RNA (468 nucleotides) under uncultured bacterium. RNAcentral describes it as "partial 16S ribosomal RNA". It matches the Rfam family "Bacterial small subunit ribosomal RNA", at positions 28 to 507 of the family's 1533-position model. The record is from RNAcentral.
GACGAACGCUGGCGGCGUGCUUAACACAUGCAAGUCGAACGGAAAGGCCCUGCUUUUGUGGGGUGCUCGAGUGGCGAACGGGUGAGUAACACGUGAGUAACCUGCCCUUGACUUUGGGAUAACUUCAGGAAACUGGGGCUAAUACCGGAUAGGAGCUCCUGCUGCAUGGUGGGGGUUGGAAAGUUUCGGCGGUUGGGGAUGGACUCGCGGCUUAUCAGCUUGUUGGUGGGGUAGUGGCUUACCAAGGCUUUGCCGGGUAGCCGGCCUGAGAGGGUGACCGGCCACAUUGGGACUGAGAUACGGCCCAGACUCCUACGGGAGGCAGAAGUGGGGAAUAUUGCACAAUGGGCGGAAGCCUGAUGCAGCAACUCCGCGUGCGGGAUGACGGCCUUCGGGUUGUAAACCGCUUUCGCCUGUGACGAAGCGUGAGUGACGGUAAUGGGUAAAGAAGCACCGGCUAACUACGUG